RNAcentral lists this transfer RNA (69 nucleotides) under Rhacodactylus willihenkeli. RNAcentral describes it as "Rhacodactylus sp. KGeiss-2023a tRNA-Glu". It matches the Rfam family "tRNA". Rfam says of the family: Transfer RNA (tRNA) molecules are approximately 80 nucleotides in length. Lineage: Eukaryota; Metazoa; Chordata; Lepidosauria; Squamata; Diplodactylidae. The record is from RNAcentral.
GUUUUUGUAGUUGAAUAACAACAGUGGUUUUUCGUGCCAUAGGUUUUGGUUAAAGGCCAAAUAAAAAUG